Molecule: ribosomal RNA, 492 nt
Filed under: uncultured bacterium
Lineage: Bacteria
Description: partial 16S ribosomal RNA
Rfam family: Bacterial small subunit ribosomal RNA
Source: RNAcentral
AGUGAACGCUGGCGGUAGGCCUAACACAUGCAAGUCGAACGGCAGCACAGUAAGAGCUUGCUCUUACGGGUGGCGAGUGGCGGACGGGUGAGGAAUACAUCGGAAUCUACUUUUUCGUGGGGGAUAACGUAGGGAAACUUACGCUAAUACCGCAUACGACCUACGGUUGAAAGCAGGGGAUCUUCGGACCUUGCGCGAUUGAAUGAGCCGAUGUCGGAUUAGCUAGUUGGCGGGGUAAAGGCCCACCAAGGCGACGAUCCGUAGCUGGUCUGAGAGGAUGAUAAGCCACACUGGAACGGAGACACGGUCCAGACUCCUACGGGAGGCAGCAGUGGGGAAUAUUGGACAAUGGGCGCAAGCCUGAUCCAGCCAUACCGCGUGGGUGAAGAAGGCCUUCGGGUUGUAAAGCCCUUUUGUUGGGAAAGAAAAGCAGCAGGUUAAUACCCCGCUGUUCUGACGGUACCCAAAGAAUAAGCACCGGCUAACUUCGUG